GCUAAACGCGAAGAACCUUACCUAGGCUUGACAUAUACAGGACGACGGCAGAGAUGUCGUUUCCCUUGUGGCUUGUAUACAGGUGGUGCAUGGUUGUCGUCAGCUCGUGUCGUGAGAUGUUGGGUUAAGUCCCGCAACGAGCGCAACCCCUGUCUCAUGUUGCCAGCACGUUAUGGUGGGGACUCGUGAGAGACUGCCGGGGUCAACUCGGAGGAAGGUGGGGAUGACGUCAAAUCAUCAUGCCCCUUAUGUCUAGGGCUUCACACAUGCUACAAUGGCUAGUACAGAGGGCUGCGAUACCGCGAGGUGGAGCGAAUCCCUUAAAGCUGGUCUCAGUUCGGAUUGGGGUCUGCAACUCGACCCCAUGAAGUUGGAAUCGCUAGUAAUCGCAGAUCAGCAUUGCUGCGGUGAAUACGUUCCCGGGUCUUGUACACACCG
RNAcentral lists this ribosomal RNA (438 nucleotides) under uncultured bacterium. Its description in RNAcentral is "bacterial SSU rRNA". It matches the Rfam family "Bacterial small subunit ribosomal RNA", at positions 954 to 1392 of the family's 1533-position model. The record is from RNAcentral.